UCCUUAGUGGCUCAGAUGGUAAAGAAUCUACCUGCAACGCAGGAGACCCAGGUUCAAUUCCUGGUUCAGGAA
Molecule: transfer RNA, 72 nt
Filed under: Bos taurus (domestic cattle)
Lineage: Eukaryota; Metazoa; Chordata; Mammalia; Artiodactyla; Bovidae
Also listed under: 3 other names
Rfam family: tRNA
About the family: Transfer RNA (tRNA) molecules are approximately 80 nucleotides in length. Their secondary structure includes four short double-helical elements and three loops (D, anti-codon, and T loops). Further hydrogen bonds mediate the characteristic L-shaped molecular structure. tRNAs have two regions of fundamental functional importance: the anti-codon, which is responsible for specific mRNA codon recognition, and the 3' end, to which the tRNAs corresponding amino acid is attached (by aminoacyl-tRNA synthetases). tRNAs cope with the degeneracy of the genetic code in two manners: having more than one tRNA (with a specific anti-codon) for a particular amino acid; and 'wobble' base-pairing, i.e. permitting non-standard base-pairing at the 3rd anti-codon position.
Source: Rfam by way of RNAcentral